RNAcentral lists this ribosomal RNA (1746 nucleotides) under Shigella sonnei. RNAcentral's name for it is "bacterial LSU rRNA". It matches the Rfam family "Bacterial large subunit ribosomal RNA", at positions 1213 to 2925 of the family's 2925-position model. Lineage: Bacteria; Pseudomonadati; Pseudomonadota; Gammaproteobacteria; Enterobacterales; Enterobacteriaceae. The record is from RNAcentral.
GCUUAUGCGUUGUUGGGUAGGGGAGCGUUCUGUAAGCCUGCGAAGGUGUGCUGUGAGGCAUGCUGGAGGUAUCAGAAGUGCGAAUGCUGACAUAAGUAACGAUAAAGCGGGUGAAAAGCCCGCUCGCCGGAAGACCAAGGGUUCCUGUCCAACGUUAAUCGGGGCAGGGUGAGUCGACCCCUAAGGCGAGGCCGAAAGGCGUAGUCGAUGGGAAACAGGUUAAUAUUCCUGUACUUGGUGUUACUGCGAAGGGGGGACGGAGAAGGCUAUGUUGGCCGGGCGACGGUUGUCCCGGUUUAAGCGUGUAGGCUGGUUUUCCAGGCAAAUCCGGAAAAUCAAGGCUGAGGCGUGAUGACGAGGCACUACGGUGCUGAAGCAACAAAUGCCCUGCUUCCAGGAAAAGCCUCUAAGCAUCAGGUAACAUCAAAUCGUACCCCAAACCGACACAGGUGGUCAGGUAGAGAAUACCAAGGCGCUUGAGAGAACUCGGGUGAAGGAACUAGGCAAAAUGGUGCCGUAACUUCGGGAGAAGGCACGCUGAUAUGUAGGUGAAGUCCCUUGCGGAUGGAGCUGAAAUCAGUCGAAGAUACCAGCUGGCUGCAACUGUUUAUUAAAAACACAGCACUGUGCAAACACGAAAGUGGACGUAUACGGUGUGACGCCUGCCCGGUGCCGGAAGGUUAAUUGAUGGGGUCAGCGCAAGCGAAGCUCUUGAUCGAAGCCCCGGUAAACGGCGGCCGUAACUAUAACGGUCCUAAGGUAGCGAAAUUCCUUGUCGGGUAAGUUCCGACCUGCACGAAUGGCGUAAUGAUGGCCAGGCUGUCUCCACCCGAGACUCAGUGAAAUUGAACUCGCUGUGAAGAUGCAGUGUACCCGCGGCAAGACGGAAAGACCCCGUGAACCUUUACUAUAGCUUGACACUGAACAUUGAGCCUUGAUGUGUAGGAUAGGUGGGAGGCUUUGAAGUGUGGACGCCAGUCUGCAUGGAGCCGGCCUUGAAAUACCACCCUUUAAUGUUUGAUGUUCUAACGUGGACCCGUGAUCCGGGUUGCGGACAGUGUCUGGUGGGUAGUUUGACUGGGGCGGUCUCCUCCUAAAGAGUAACGGAGGAGCACGAAGGUUGGCUAAUCCUGGUCGGACAUCAGGAGGUUAGUGCAAUGGCAUAAGCCAGCUUGACUGCGAGCGUGACGGCGCGAGCAGGUGCGAAAGCAGGUCAUAGUGAUCCGGUGGUUCUGAAUGGAAGGGCCAUCGCUCAACGGAUAAAAGGUACUCCGGGGAUAACAGGCUGAUACCGCCCAAGAGUUCAUAUCGACGGCGGUGUUUGGCACCUCGAUGUCGGCUCAUCACAUCCUGGGGCUGAAGUAGGUCCCAAGGGUAUGGCUGUUCGCCAUUUAAAGUGGUACGCGAGCUGGGUUUAGAACGUCGUGAGACAGUUCGGUCCCUAUCUGCCGUGGGCGCUGGAGAACUGAGGGGGGCUGCUCCUAGUACGAGAGGACCGGAGUGGACGCAUCACUGGUGUUCGGGUUGUCAUGCCAAUGGCACUGCCCGGUAGCUAAAUGCGGAAGAGAUAAGUGCUGAAAGCAUCUAAGCACGAAACUUGCCCCGAGAUGAGUUCUCCCUGACCCUUUAAGGGUCCUGAAGGAACGUUGAAGACGACGACGUUGAUAGGCCGGGUGUGUAAGCGCAGCGAUGCGUUGAGCUAACCGGUACUAAUGAACCGUGAGGCUUAACCUUACAACGCCGAAG